RNAcentral lists this unclassified non-coding RNA (1493 nucleotides) under Leishmania donovani. RNAcentral's name for it is "gene:LdHU3.35.1160(CDS-product:hypothetical_prote in_conserved)". Lineage: Eukaryota; Euglenozoa; Kinetoplastea; Trypanosomatida; Trypanosomatidae. The record is from RNAcentral.
UGGCGCAGCUCAUCUCUGCUACUCCGCAUUGCCACGCACACGUCCAACACAUACGCACCCACAAGCACAGGCAUCUUCCGCACCCGCCACAGCGCCCGUUUAGCAAGAGCCGCGCCGAAGUAGCGGAAAAGGGGGAGGGAGUGUCGCCCACUCGUUUCCUUACCCCUUCCGUUUCUUUCAUUCGCCUUCGCUGAGUCUCGAUUUUGAAGGGACCAUGCGCACGGUGAGCCGUGUAGGGGCUGCUGCAGCGGCUGGUCCCGCCGUCAGCGCUCGCACAGUGGGGCAAGCGCUACGACAGCCACGCCACAGUUUUCAGGGGGCUUUGAGUUUCGCCUCUUUAGCGUCCUCCUCGCCACUGCUGCGCCUGUCCACUUCACAAAUGAUGACCGCAGCUGUCCUUCCUUGCAUGCGACGCUCCCCGCACUUUCUCGCAAUGGCGGUACGUCAUCAGCACACCACGGCGGCUGGUGAGGCCGCAGCAUCCCCCACCAGCGCAUCGGCAUCCUCGCCUGGUAUCUCUUCUUCAAGUUACAAUUUCGGCGGCGACGAUGGCGUACGUAUUGACCCACGUUGCCUCCCGAGCACUAUCCCUGGCAUCACGCGGGAGGAGCUGGCGGCGCGUAUCGUGCAGUACCACUCACAGCAGUCGAAGCUGGCGCAAGAGAUGUCGGACAAGGCGCUGGCGCAUGAUGUGGAACUCAUGCGUCGGUCGCUGUCACCAAGCUCCUUUGCCGAGUACAUGGCGCGCCUGGAGAAGGAGCAGCAGGCGGCGGUGAAAGAGGAGGCGAAGAUGGCCGCCAUGUCCCCACUUGAGUUGCACCAGUACCGGCAGAAGAAGCGCCGGCAGGCGAUCCGGUACGAGUGGUACAAGACCUUUUUGGUGCUUGUCGCAAUAGCUGGUAGCAUCGCCUUCCUCUUCUCUUUGUUUAUCUUCUUCAAGUAAUCGCAUGCGCUGUGAAGAGUGGCUGCGUGCUGCGGGCUCCGCUGUGUAUCUUGGGCUUGUUGCAGCCUCGCAUUUGGCUGUUCAUGGUAGCUUCUUGAGCACAUCGGCUCACACAUUCCUUCUUCUGUUGGAAAGCGUCGGCAGCGGUAGUUGUCGUGGUGGUCGGGAGGGUGGGGGAGGGGAGCGAGUGCAUCGUAGUCUUCUGGAAUGCUGUUCGCUGUGUGAGGCGCGUGCUCUGCCUCAUGCACCCGCGGUCUCUGUAUCUUAUUCUCUCUCGUGUGUUAUUGUUGUUGCCUUGCUUGGUGGUCUUUGUCGUCACAGGAAACGGUCGAUGCACACACAAACACACAUAUCUGUAUAUAUGUGUACAUAUGCAGAUAUAGAUAUGUGUGUAAGUAUUAAUAUGCGCAAACUCACAGAGAGAGAGAAAGACGCAAACAAAAGAGGAAAAAAACAACAGGAGCGCAGAGAACGGAUGCGUUCGCCUCUCCUAUCCUCCUCCUCCCCCUUUCUGUACGCGCAAAUCUGCACCGAGUGCAGCGGAAUGGAG